GUGCAUAUAUUUGACAGACCUGGAGUAGGUAUUGUCUGCGGCUAAUGUUUCCACUACAGGUGCAAGGAAAAAAGUGUCCUCCUGCUUUCUGUCUGUCUGAUUGUGGCUUCGAAGACUGAAUAGGGGAAUACGUGG
This 135-nucleotide small nucleolar RNA is filed under the name Prolemur simus (greater bamboo lemur). RNAcentral's name for it is "Small nucleolar RNA SNORA31 (ENSPSMG00000009041.1)". The record is from RNAcentral. Lineage: Eukaryota; Metazoa; Chordata; Mammalia; Primates; Lemuridae.